This is a long non-coding RNA of Panicum virgatum (switchgrass), 2600 nucleotides long. RefSeq lists it as uncharacterized. NCBI's taxonomy places the organism in Eukaryota, Viridiplantae, Streptophyta, Magnoliopsida, Poales, Poaceae. The record is from RefSeq and is a predicted model, not a curated record. The transcript is spliced from 4 exons.
AGGGGGAAAGGGUGUCGUCAACUCUGUAGAUGCUAGAACGAGCUACUGACUGGUGGACCUCCCGUUACUAUUGCCCCACUGUCAGCUGCUAUGACUCAAGUAACAUAUACCAUGCGCUGGAUUUGUGGAAAGGGACAGAGGACGGUGGAUAGGGUCAUCGCCCUCUCCACCUCCUAGCUGGUCGAUCUGUCAUCUCCCUCGCCGUUGUGUUCCAUCCGGUCCGACCAGACCACACAGCGUGCCGCGCCGCUCCAUUGCAGCAGGCGCGUGCGCUCCCUCCUCUGUCUACUGUGCGGCGAUGCCCCGCUCCCAUACAAGCGUGCGCCCCCUCCCUCUCUGUCAACGCCAUGAUGUUGAGGCCGUCUCAUUGGAGCAAUUGGCGGAGCUCGUGCCAUCCCGUCGGCGCCUACCAUCCUCGUCCUAGUCCUACGACGGUCACCGAGAUAACCCCUCCCUCUACUGCUUCGUCCAUCUCGUCUCAACCCCAAACCCUAGCAGCAGCUUUGAUUUUUUCUCUUCUUCCCUCUGCUUCCUCCGCCUCCCAAGACUGAAACAUGGAGAUUUCUUUUCGAUGUGGCUGACUGUAGGCACCACGAUGGCCUCAGGUGACCUAGGAGGGCACGGGUUAGAUAGCAGCAGUUGGAUUCAAGCCUUUUGAGGUUCAGCUAGCCAUGCAGAAAAAAGGAUGAGCCCUUACUGAAUCAGGUUCUUUUUUUCCCUUUAAUGAGUUCGCAGUUUCUAGCUUCUUUGUUUCAUUUCCCCCCUACAGAUGCUCUAUUUCUUACCUUAGUCAGGUUGAUAUGUUAGUAAUUUUUAGUUGCAGCCUACAAGGCAAUUGUUUAUAACUUUAUAUAUCAUAAAUGUAUGAUUUGGCUACCUUACUUAUAUUGCCUCAUGUUUUACGAUAUCAGUAGGUUUGGAAAAUUAGCUCUUCAAUAAAAAAAACAAGUUGAGUUUGCCAUGAAAGCUCUGCUUAGUUUAGCAUCACACAUCUGGUAUUAUAAAGUUACAGUAACCAUAUUCUUGAAAAGAAAUGUUUAUUUGCAUGAAAAGAGACAUUGACCAUAAUUAUAUGAAAGAUAGCUUGGUUAGCUUGAAAAGGACUGCUGCUUCGAAUUGACCUGUCUGGAACAUGUGUUCCUAGAAUUUGGCGGGUCUGAAAUAAGUUCCUUUGCUUUAACUCGGUAUGUUUGUUUGCUCUAGCUGAACUGCAGUUAUAUAAUCUUUAUUCCUGUUGCAAGGUAAAGAGUUUAUGUCUGUUGUUGCCUGAAUUUUCGUGUGGUUGUUGUCUUGGCAUUGCAAAGGUGAAUUUUUGCUACUUACCACAGAGUAGUGACCAAAUAUUCUAUUUUUUCGGUUAUUGGCAUGAGUAAUCAUCCAGUCAAAAUGUGCAAACUCUUAGAAAAAUAAUAGUGCCAUAUGGCUGGCAGUUUUUAUAUGUUUUACCUAUGAUUUUUUCAAACAUUUUCUUUAAUUCUGCACAAGCGUCUAGGUUUAUAGCUUUUGGGGUCACAAUCUCAUAAUGUCACCAACUUAGUUCUAUUAGUUUGUGUUAGUUGUGGACUUGUUCAUACUGCUGCUAUCAUAUUUUACUGAGAUUGUUUUUAUCACACCUUACCAUGAAAAUUCCUUCAUUGAGAUUUGUAAAGUGACUGUUUCAGUUUAGAACCAACAGAGGAGCAACAUACAAGGUCCGUCAAUGCUCCAGCUAUCCUUAUUCAAACUGCAGUUGUAGCACCAACAGAUACACCACACAAGAAUGAUGACACCAUUUUGGCUAAGAUAAACUAUAAUCGCUUAAUUUGAUUUCUCUCCUUCACUUAUCACACUGCAAAUAGUAUUGACCUGAUAAAAUAACAGCACUUCCCUUUUCAAUAAACCAAUUUAUCCAUGUCCAACUAUAUUCCACCUAUAUGAUAUUUUGCAUCAUCUUGCUGCUCCAUCCUGCAGUCUACUAUUAAUCCAAAAGAGUCUAAGGAUGCAGUUGGUAGUUCUGCAACUAAGAUACAAAAGACUAUCGUAAGAAAAAGGUCUGUAUUGCUAACACAGAUUUAUUUUUUUAAUAUCACAUCAAAUAAAAAUCUCAUAUCUAACAUGUCUAAUUUUUAGGUCCCGCCCCUCACCUAGCAAAAAAAUUGCUAAAAAACUGUUGUUUGAUGAACACGCUGAAAAUGAAGAUGAUGGAUGUGUCCAUGACAUAGCCAAGCCUAGCGCCGAUGAUUAGAAUGAAGAUGCAGAUCAGCUCAUUUUGUGUUUUCCCAGCUGCAGGCAUGCCUAGACCUACAUUUGAUGAAUUACUAUUACACGCAGUGUAUUCAACUAUUUUAACCUAAUGCUCGGCAUUAGUUAACUCUCUUUUGGAUAUUUUAUGGCUGCAAACUGUGCUAUUUCUAAGUCCUCUGUAAUUUAUUAGUAAUCGUUUUUAUUUGGAUUAGUAUUUUGAGCUACCUACAAAAAUGUUUGGUAGCUACUAAUGCUGAUCCUCAAUUAUAAUAUAUGGCUUCACAGAACCUAUCGGCUGCACAUGCCAUUCAAUUGCUGCUGGUGUUAAGAUAUAUAUUUUCCUGAGACAAUUGCUAUUAGUUUGUUUGUCGUUCAAA